This 353-nucleotide long non-coding RNA is filed under the name Panax ginseng (ginseng). RNAcentral describes it as "long non-coding RNA (PGIN_LNC007198)". The record is from RNAcentral. Lineage: Eukaryota; Viridiplantae; Streptophyta; Magnoliopsida; Apiales; Araliaceae.
CAACAAGUUUAAAUACAACAAUAUAAGGAUAUAUCAUGAUUGAAGAGUAUGAAUAAUGGGCUUGCUAUAAUUCAUCAAUAUAAUUGAGAACUAGCACGAACAAAUUUUUGACUGAACAAGUUUUAUACAUGAACAAACAUUUCUGAACCAACUGGUAAUGAAGGUGAUCAGCGUUUCAUACCUGACUUAUACAUGCAAGAUGUACAGAGUAUAAUUUUCAUGGCAAUCAGCAAAGAUUAACCAUAAGCUUAAAUAAAACACUCUUAUUAGAGUUAAGUAAGAACAAACUUGCCUGAACCGUUGAUUACCGCAACGCAAUUUAUAACGCUUUAUCCGAAGACCUAAUAUUAAUA